Camellia sinensis is the source of this 1944-nucleotide non-coding RNA. The record is from RefSeq and is a predicted model, not a curated record. Lineage: Eukaryota; Viridiplantae; Streptophyta; Magnoliopsida; Ericales; Theaceae.
UUGGUUAAAAUUCUUUAUAUAUAGACAUAACAAACAUAAAAGAGAGAAGUUUUUUUUCUUUUGGACACAGAGAUGUAUGUAACAAGGUUGCUUUCCCACAUCCAGAGAUCUCCGGAAUCUCUUUCAUUGCCACCAGAUGGCCCAAAUUCAGGUUACUUGGUGAUCCAAGACAAAGAAUCAAAGACUACUCCCUUUUUCGGAUUUUUGAAUGUGCAGGACCUGCCUUUGCCUCAGAACAAGAAGUUGCAUGUCAACUACUUCUCUGAUGAUGAAGAAACAACCUUUGUUCCAGUUGUUAAUAAGCCCUUGUCUUCCAAUCUCUAUUAUGCAUUAAAGCCUCAUGGGUCUCGCAAAGGACUAGACAGACUGACAGAGGCGACGAUCUUGACGAGAGUCUGAGCCGACGAACAGAGAGGCGACGGAGGCAAGGCAAGGCGAGGAGAGGCGACAAACGGAGAGGCGACAGAGGCAAGGCGAAGACAGGCUGCGGUGAGGCGACUAGAGCGACAAGAGACUAAUAGAGAGAGUCGGUGAAAGACGAAGAAAGAGGAUGACGAGGUCCGUUUCUCUCCCUUUGGUCUUCAUUAUAGAUUAAGAUCCUUACAUCUGCUUUGUGAAUGUGAUCCCUACGUGGUGAAUUUGUGUAAAGACCAGCCAUAUUCUGAAUUUGUGUACAAAAAUGAUAGAAUCUGAUCCCUACAUUUGUUUUUAGUUUUGUAUCAUUUUUAGUUUUUCGGUUUUUGGUUCACAUGUUUUCAAAAAUAGACCCCAAAAAAAUCAUUUUCAUUAUUGUGCAAAUAUAUAUAUAUAUAUAUAUAUGUAAUUAUAUAGUGAUUAUUCUUUAUUAUCAUUAAAAAAGAUUAUUGAACACCCAUGAAUGUACUUAUAAAAUUUUGUGAACCUUACCUCUAUUUUUUUCACUAUUUUGUUAGCAUUUUGGAUUUGAUAGAAUGUGAUCCUUAAUUCCACAACACAUAUCUAUAAAUCUGAAUAAUUCCAAAUUGGUUGAUUACAAAUCUAUAAAUCUAAACACACCUCUCUCUAAGGCAUCCACAAGCCUCAUCACUAUGAGCACAUUGAGUAGUCUUCAUAUUAAGCAUGUUUAUAAGAGUUUCUGAAGUAACAGAGUGAGAGAUGCAAGCUCUGUUUAGUUUCCAUGGCAUUUUUGUUGAGCUCUUUAGUGCAAAGCAUUUGUAAGAAUUGCUUAUUGAGUUCUCUGAACCUCCUUAAUUUGUAAAAUGGAGACCAUGCAAAAUUGAGAGCCCCUUGGGUCUCUGCAUUUCCUAAAUUUUUUAUUUGUUAAUUUUUAAAUGUACCAUAGAAACUUUUAGUUGUUGUAUUGUUUCCAUGUACAACUAACUAUAGUGGCUACUAUUCAUGUUUUAGCAAUGAACUUAUGGUUACUUUCGUCUUUUUGGGUGCUUGCAAAGAGUUGUUUUGUGCAAUUAGUGUUUUUAUGGUUUUAUAGUCUAUGAAAUCUUUGUUAUCAGAUUUGUGUUUAAUGAUCUUCUAGUCAACUCUUUACUGCUUGAUGCUUUGCCUAGAUUUGUUGCUCAAACUCUUUGCUGCUUGAUGCAGUUAGUGUUUAAUGAUCUUCUAGUCAACUUUUUGUUGCUUGAUGCUUUGCCUAGAUUUGUGAUUGACUUAUUCAUCUUUUUCAUUCUCGUAGUUUCUUUUAGUUUUUAUUAGUUGCUUUGCAAUAUUCUGUUUUCAAUUUCCAGUGAGAAGCAGCCUAUAAAUCAUUAAAAUGACCCUCAUGACCUCCAAUUUAACUCGAAAGCCCUUCAAUCUAUCUGUUUCCUAAGCACUUGUAGUCUGAUAUAUAGUAUACCCUAACAGCAAUAUCGUAGUGUAUGCAAAAUCCUUAUCAUUUUGUUUUCAUUUACAAUAUUAGUUUUUUUAUUCAUAUUCUAAUUGAACAUCUUCGUUUACUUUGGCUUUAUA